Molecule: unclassified non-coding RNA, 385 nt
Filed under: uncultured bacterium
Lineage: Bacteria
Description: contains 16S-23S intergenic spacer region
Source: RNAcentral
UCCGAGUUGACCCCGGCAGUCUCCCAUGAGUCCCCACCACCCCGAAGGGCGUGCUGGCAACAUGGAACGAGGGUUGCGCUCGUUGCGGGACUUAACCCAACAUCUCACGACACGAGCUGACGACAGCCAUGCACCACCUGUGCAGGAUCUCCGAAGAGGGGCUCUCGUUUCUGAGAGCUUGCUCCUGCAUGUCAAGCCUAGGUAAGGUUCUUCGCGUCGCAUCGAAUUAAGCAACAUGCUCCGCCGCUUGUGCGGGGCCCCGUCAAUUCCUUUGAGUUUUAAUCUUGCGACCGUACUCCCCAGGCGGAAUGCUUAAAGCGUUAGCUGCGCCACUAGUGAGUAAACCCACUAACGGCUGGCAUUCAUCGUUUACAGCGUGGACUAC